ACGGCUUCCUACUUGAUUAAUAGGCUCCCAAGUCCUACUCUUGGAAACUUAUCACCUUACUUCAAACUUCUCCAUAAACAUCCUGAUUACACAUGUCUCCGUGUCUUUGGCUGUGCGUGUUUCCCUUUCCUCCGUCCCUACAAUGCUCACAAACUUGAUUAUCGGUCUAAGGAGUGUAUUUUUCUAGGAUACUCCACUGUUCAUAAGGGGUACAAAUGUUUGGCUGCCAAUGGACAUCUCUAUAUUUCUAAGGAUGUUCUUUUCCAGGAAACAAGGUUUCCUUAUUCCCUUUUAUUUCCCACUUCCACUCCACCUUCUACUGCUGCUCCUACUUCCCCUGUUUCUGCUUCUUCAUGGUUCAUGGCUGAAGCUUCUCCUCAUCCUCACCUUCUUAAUUCUGACAGUCCUACACCAUCUCUUUCUUCUACUGCUGUUGGUGUCAGUCCUACUUCCCCUCCCAGUCCUCUUCAUACUCCUGCUAAUAUCAGCUCUCCACAUACACCUAUUCCCUCCACUUCUUCUUCUCCUGGCCUAAUUCUCUCUGAUAUUGCUGAAUGCAGUACCAUUUCUCCCUCCUCUUCUCCUGCAGAAUCUUCUGUCAGCCCUGUUCCCUUACCCUUUAACCCAUCCCAACCUUUUAUUCAUCCCCUUAACACUCAUAUUAUGCAAACACGAGCUAGUACCAUUUCUCCCUCCUCUUCUCCUGCAGAAUCUUCUGUCAGCCCUGUUCCCUUACCCUUUAACCCAUCCCAACCUUUUAUUCAUCC
This 767-nucleotide long non-coding RNA is filed under the name Lathyrus oleraceus (garden pea). Its description in RNAcentral is "Pisum sativum (pea) long non-coding RNA (PSAT_LNC004180)". Lineage: Eukaryota; Viridiplantae; Streptophyta; Magnoliopsida; Fabales; Fabaceae. The record is from RNAcentral.